AAACAAUUGCCCACUUUAUACACCACAAAUUGAACCCUAACCUCACAUGUGCGCUACCUCCAUCACACCCUCCAUCUCUCUUGUUGAAACUCAUCCUUUCUCUUUCUUUGGCCCAAUAAAAGAAAUAUUUUCUCACUUUCUCAUACCUAUUUUUCUGAACUAUAGCCACAAUAGCUUGGAGGCGUCAAAUGCUAUAUUUCUGGCACUGCGGAUUCCAAUCUUUCUGCUAGUAUUUUCUUAAAUAUUUGAUUGUGGGUAUUUUAAAGUUUAUAUCUUGUGUUGAUUUAUUGUUCCUUCUGUAGAGUUUUUAUUUUUUCACUAAAUACAAGUGGUAUAAAUUAUUUAUAUUUUUGAAUGUGUGUGUCAGUUCUAGGUUCCAUUUGGUAGAGUUUCAUUUGGCCAAGUUAGGUUUGUGUAUAAUAAAAUGGUUUAUUAUCACAGCAAGAUUUCAUUUUUGUUGCAUAUUUCAAUUGGGUUUUCUUAUUUAAGUGUUGUUUGUUUGCAGGCUAAAUGAAAAAUAAUACACUCGUAAUUAUAAUUUCACAGCCUAAUAGGAAAUGUUUUGUUUAUUUUCAUUAUUAUGGGAUUUUGGUGUUGCAAAGUUUGUAUAUUUACUGCUGAAUAUAGUAUUAAUGGUUUUUAAGGCAUCUUAACUUCUAUUCAUGUUCUGUUUUUUCUUGGGCUUAGAAGUUAACUAACAUUUUUUUGUAGAUGCCAAGCUAGUUGCUUUCAAGCUACUCAUCUUGCAUAUGCGACUUGAAUAUUGUCAUGCCUCGAGCAAAAUUGUUUUUCUUAUUUAAAAUCAUUUCACACUUUUUUUUUCAUUUACUUAUCUUCCUUUAAAUAAAGAAACCGAUAGAAGGUGUUCCAAGUAUUCGAGAACUGCAGCGAGGAUGAUGAUUAGCAUUACGUGAAGCAAGUUCCUUUCUAUAUUUUAUUUAUUACGAGAGCAAAAACAAUUCUCUCUUUUUGUGGCUCAAAUUAAAGAAGCCUCCCUUCUAUUCAAGAGCUAAAUCUACUCCCGGAAAGUUUGAUUAUGUUUGUUGAAAAGAUGGAUCUUAAUCUCUUCACCCUAAGGGAAGCUGUACUUAAUUAGAAUGUAGUUGUCACACAGUCUUUUGGCUAAUUUUCAGAAACUAAAAGUGGAUAUAAGUUUAUUGUAAGAGGCGGGGGUGGAUAUUAUAGAAAUAAAUAUUUACUUUUAUUUUUACAUUCUUAUUUUUCUCAUUUGGUUUGAUCUAUGCAGGAUAUGAAGCUCCUAACUUGAGGUACUUAAUCUCUAUUUUCUUCUUAAAUUAGGAUAAGAUUUUACUCCUAUGUACUUGUUAUUAUAGAAUUUAUUCAUUUUACAGAUGUUUCUACCCUGUUCUAGGCGUAUGGUUGGUAUCCUUGAGUACCUAACUUGCUAGAUUCCUACAUAACCAUAUCAAAUUAAUUUAAAGCCAUAUAAUGUUGAGAUUCUAACUUGCUAGCUUCUUGAGCUGGGAUUUGAUAGUGUUUGUAGAAUCUUUAAUGGAAUCAGAGGUGGUUUUAAUAGACUUGGUUUUGUUCUUAGCAGAAUCAGAAGGAAGUUUAAUGAGCUUGGAUCGGUUCUUGAUUGAACCAAUAUUGGAUUUAAUGAGCUUGGUUUGGUUUUUGGAUAAACUUGUAUUAGAUUUAAUAACUUUGGUUGUAUUUUUUGAGGAAGAUAGUUUGGUAAAAGUAGUUUUCUUCUUAAUAACCGGCUCAUCUUCUUCUUUUACCUGUAACAUUGAUUUUCUAUGAAAACUUUUUGGUAUUCUUGUUCUCACUCUCCCUAUUUUCGGAAAAUUGGAUUCAAUAUUAACUAGCUGUGAUCUCUGUAAUAUUUUUGUUGUAAGCUCAAAAUUCAAACAGAUUGAAGACAAAAUUCAAACAGAAUGCUGUUGGGG
This 1910-nucleotide long non-coding RNA is filed under the name Olea europaea subsp. europaea. Lineage: Eukaryota; Viridiplantae; Streptophyta; Magnoliopsida; Lamiales; Oleaceae. The record is from RNAcentral.